UUUAAAGACUGAUUGCUGUCUUGGUUCAAAGCAUUUACCUUGGCAAAAGAGAGUUAAUGCUUCAGUUUUCUGCUUUAUUGGCAAAUGUCUUGCAGUUACCACUGCCUACUGUUGGUAAGUAUUAUACUGGAAAACAAGCAGAAACAUUUUGCUUAAGCGUAGCUGUUGCAGCUACAAUUUAUUUUGUGAUUGUUGUGCACAUGUGGACUAUUCAAGGAGGAGAGCUGAUUUUGGAUCCUACCACCACAUUAUGACUUACUAAUGUUAUAAUUUAGGAACAGCAGCUAUAACAACAGUCUUUCUCUCACUCCUCUUGUAGUUUUAGAUACUUUCUUGCUUGCUUCCUUGCUUUUUUUUUUUUUCUUUCUUUCUUGUUUGUUUGUUUGUUUUUGAGUUAUUUGAGUCUCUUUUUUAGUUUUCUUUUUAUGAUGGAGGCUUGCAAUGGUUCAGCUCUACUCCUGAAUACUGCCACGUGCAGUUUUAUGCAGUGUGAGCCAUUCUAGGUCCCAUGAUGAGAAAUAAUUCAUGGAGCAUUUAAAUUGUUCAUCGACCACAGGCAUGUGAUGAAGAGUGACUUGAGUGAGAAGGUCCCAUCUGGGCUGCUGAGCUACACUGACUGCAUGGUCCUGCUCCAGCAUUCAGAGCAGCAGGAAGCCCAGCCACUGUGCAGACAGAUGAGAAAAAGGUAGCCGCAUCACUCAACUGUUGGCACAAUGAACUGAAAUAGAAAAAAAUGCUCUUUGCACCACAGUCUCCACCAAUACAAGCUAUAUCUCAUCUCCUCCCAAGCCACAUCCAUGGCAGCCAGGCCACAAGGUGUAUGGCAAUGGAAAAUCUGGAGCAACCUGCAACAAGCUGUUUUAACUUCAUAGAACUGAACGAGGAAGGUUUCUCUUUCUGCGUUUUUGUCUCUUGGGUAACUAUGUUGUACCACUCUUGCAAUAAAGCUGAUUGAAUCUGAUUCUCAGAUUCAGCAUGUAAUUCAUCUAACAGCCAUUCACUGCUUUGUAUAUGACAAAACAAUAGAAUUCUCAUCUUGAUUAUGAUCCCUUAAUCUAAAACAACCGGCCGUAAUGGACGCUAACAUUUAAAUCUAUCCAAACCAGAAAAAUGACUCUUCAAACCGUUCAUUACUUAGAGAGUUAUGAUUUUGCUGCAAUCAUGUGAAGCUGGCAGACUGUUUAUAAAGAAAAGUUUCACCUGAAUUACUAUAGUUAAAAUCCUUUCCUCCAGGGAAAUGUGACCUAGAGAAAUGUUUCAUAUUAUCCCAGGAAAAAGAGCCAUGCUGAAAAGAUUAGAAAACAUCCCAUGCACACAUGCACACAUAUGCUUACAUGCACGCACACUCUCCCACCCCUAGCAGUACUGCGGGUAGCAGAAGGAACAGUGCACUUUCACAGACUCCUGCCUUGUGCUCAAAGGAAAUGCAGCAGACAUUUAAAUAUUUCCAAACCAAACAAGACAUCCUGAAGGAUUCUCCUCCUG
This 1485-nucleotide long non-coding RNA is filed under the name Anas zonorhyncha (Eastern spot-billed duck). RNAcentral describes it as "lncRNA (ENSAZOG00000011747.1)". The record is from RNAcentral. Lineage: Eukaryota; Metazoa; Chordata; Aves; Anseriformes; Anatidae.